CAGUCUGGCAGGACUGAGAUGGAGAAGGACAGGCUUGGCAAGUGGAGGCGUCAAGGAAGAGAUAAACAAGGAACGGCCAGGGGAGGCCUGAAUAAAGAGACCCGGGCUGCCAGUGUAAUUUAAGAGUCAUCAGCUUGAUAACAGUGUUCAAAACCAGAGGAGAGGCAAAAGAAAAUCAACAAUUCUCCCAGCCGCAGCGGGUUCCAUCUGUUAUAAGCUCAAAUCUCCCAAGCACCGCGCAUCAUGGGAGCAGAGGACCCUGCCGUGAACACCAGGCUUGAGCCGGCGACGCCCGUGGAGUCCGAAAAGGGUAACCACCACUGUUGGGAGUCCGUGGCUACAACAACCGUGUGCAGAGGACAGCAAGGAUGUCAUAGCACCUCACUCCUAUCUUCAGGCUCCGGCUCUUCCAUUCUUUCUGCUCCUUCUUCCUUAAUGUUGUGUGAGCCUUGAAAGAGUGAUAUAGAUAUUCCAUUUAGGGCCGGGUGCUCAAGAGUCAGUUAUUUUCAGCCCUGAUCAGUUAGGAAUCUCAGCACUAACUUCUGCCCGCUGCAAACAGAAUGGCGCUCAUCAGAAUGCAAACAGAACUGCCAUUACUGUUAACAUACUCAGUAAAGGAACAGUGGGCAGGUAAUGAUUGCAGAGAUGGACGUCAUAGUCCUCAGUGGUGUGGACUCUGCUAAGCUGCCCUUGCUGAAGCUACAACUCCCCUAACCAUUCACAUUCAAUUAAAAGCACUCAAACUUAAAUGCAGCACCCAAACUUAAAAGGCAUAAACCGAUUAAAACUUAAAAAGACAUGGAAGUUGUAAAGGGACUUGUUGGGGAGAAGGGGGUUGACAAGAGGGACAGAGAGGAAAGGUAGGAUAACGGGGGAGGGGCUAGGAACAUGGUUCAGUGGGUAAGAUAGCUCACCAUGAAAACAAGACAGCCUGAGUUCAAAUCCCGAGCCUUCAUGUAAAAGAGCCAGGCAUGGCUGUUUGUGCCUAUAACCCUAGCAUCGGUAAACAGGGAAAGGUGGAUCCUGGGAGCUUGCUGACCAGCCAGCCAAGCUGAAAUGGCACUCUUCACGUUCCAUGAAAGAUCAUGUCUCAAAAUAAUAAUGAUGACAGUGAUGGUGAUGAUGGUGACAGUGAUGAUGAUAUGACGAUGAUGAAAAUUAUAGAGAAAGACACUCUUUGUUCUCCUCUGACCUCUACGUGGGCACGAACACCCACCCACUUACAGGUGUGUACAUAUAGCACA
Long non-coding RNA from Meriones unguiculatus (Mongolian gerbil), 1244 nucleotides. RefSeq lists it as uncharacterized. The record is from RefSeq and is a predicted model, not a curated record. The transcript has 4 exons. Lineage: Eukaryota; Metazoa; Chordata; Mammalia; Rodentia; Muridae.